CCUACGGGAGGCAGCAGUAGGGAAUCUUCCACAAUGGGCGCAAGCCUGAUGGAGCAACACCGCGUGAGUGAAGAAGGGUUUCGGCUCGUAAAGCUCUGUUGUUGGAGAAGAACGUUCGUGUGAGUAACUGUUCUCGCAGUGACGGUAUCCAUCCAGAAAGUCACGGCUAACUACGUGCCAGCAGCCGCGGCAAUACGUAGGUGGCAAGCGUUAUCCGGAUUUAUUGGGCGUAAAGCGAGCGCAGGCGGUUGCUUAGGUCUGAUGUGAAAGCCUUCGGCUUAACCGGUGAAGUGCAUCGGAAACCGGGAGACUUGAGUGCAGGAGAGGACAGUGGAACUCCAGGUGUAGAGGUGAAAUCCGUAGAUAUCUGGAGGAACAUCAGUGGCGAAGGCGACUGACUGGAACGUAACUGACGCUGAGGAGCGAAAGCGUGGGUAGCAAACAGGAUUAGAUACCCCAGUAGUC
Molecule: ribosomal RNA, 465 nt
Filed under: uncultured bacterium
Lineage: Bacteria
Description: partial 16S ribosomal RNA
Rfam family: Bacterial small subunit ribosomal RNA
Source: RNAcentral